GUCUUAUUAUAUGCAAUACCCGUGCUUCUAAUUAAAAUGGCUAGUAUUUGAUGCAUUACUAUGAGGCGCCUCAAUACUGUAAUGUAUUCAUACCUUAGUUGAUUAGACUUAGAGUUAGGCCUGUUUAUAUGGAAGCCGGACUGUCCCGCUUAUAUCGAGACAGCACAGUAUGCGGGAUGAAUUUCUGUUGUGUUUAAAUGAAAAAAAUUCAUCCCGAUUCCCGUGAAUAUUUUGUUAUUAGUAAGUUAAAAAUAUCUUACGG
This is a non-coding RNA of Paramuricea clavata, 262 nucleotides long. The record is from the annotation of a GenBank genome assembly. Lineage: Eukaryota; Metazoa; Cnidaria; Anthozoa; Malacalcyonacea; Plexauridae.